GACGAACGCUGGCGGCGUGCCUAAUACAUGCAAGUCGAGCGGACGGGCGAUGCGUUUGCGGGGCGCUUGUUUGGCGAACGGGUGAGUAACACGCGAGUAUAACGUCCUUAUAUUUGGGGUAACUUUAGGAAACUGCGGCUAAUACAGGAUAGGAGCUCCUGCAGCGUGGGGGGGGAAGGAGAGAUUCGGCGGUUGGGGCUGGACUCGCGGGUUAUCAGCUGGUUAGUGGGGUAGUGGAUUACCAAGGCUAUGAAGGGUAGCCGGCCUGAGAGGGUGACCGGCGACCUUGGGACUUAGGUACGGCACAGACUGCUACGGGAGGCAGCAGGGGGGAAUAUUGCACAAUGGGCGGAAGCCUGAUGCAGCAGUGCCGCGAGCGUAAUGACGGGUUAUUAGUGAUGAACAGCUUUGGACUGUGAUGAACCGAGCUUGACGGUACUUAGUAAGAAAGCACCGGCUAACUACGUG
This 468-nucleotide ribosomal RNA is filed under the name uncultured bacterium. RNAcentral's name for it is "partial 16S ribosomal RNA". It matches the Rfam family "Bacterial small subunit ribosomal RNA", at positions 28 to 507 of the family's 1533-position model. The record is from RNAcentral.